CAGCAGCCACGGGAACACGAAGGGUGCAAGCGUUACUCGGAAUUACUGGGCGUAAAGCGUGCGUAGGUGGUGGUUUAAGUCCGCUGUGAAAGCCCUGGGCUCAACCUGGGAAUUGCAGUGGAUACUGGGUCACUAGAGUGUGGUAGAGGAUAGUGGAAUUUCCGGUGUAGCAGUGAAAUGCGUAGAGAUCGGAAGGAACAUCUGUGGCGAAGGCGACUAUCUGGGCCAACACUGACACUGAGGCACGAAAGCGUGGGGAGCAAACAGGAUUAGAUACCCGCGUAGUCCCUGUCUCUUAUAC
RNAcentral lists this ribosomal RNA (301 nucleotides) under uncultured bacterium. RNAcentral's name for it is "partial 16S ribosomal RNA". It matches the Rfam family "Bacterial small subunit ribosomal RNA", at positions 509 to 807 of the family's 1533-position model. The record is from RNAcentral.